Molecule: ribosomal RNA, 2239 nt
Filed under: Salmonella enterica
Lineage: Bacteria; Pseudomonadati; Pseudomonadota; Gammaproteobacteria; Enterobacterales; Enterobacteriaceae
Description: partial 23S ribosomal RNA
Rfam family: Bacterial large subunit ribosomal RNA
Source: RNAcentral
AGACCCGAAACCCGGUGAUCUAGCCAUGGGCAGGUUGAAGGUUGGGUAACACUAACUGGAGGACCGAACCGACUAAUGUUGAAAAAUUAGCGGAUGACCUGUGGCUGGGGGUGAAAGGCCAAUCAAACCGGGAGAUAGCUGGUUCUCCCCGAAAGCUAUUUAGGUAGCGCCUCGUGAAUUCAUCUCCGGGGGUAGAGCACUGUUUCGGCCAGGGGGCCAUCCCGGCUUACCAAUCCGAUGCAAACUGCGAAUACCGGAGAAUGUUAUCACGGGAGACACACGGCGGGUGCUAACGUCCGUCGUGAAGAGGGAAACAACCCAGACCGCCAGCUAAGGUCCCAAAGUCAUGGUUAAGUGGGAAACGAUGUGGGAAGGCCCAGACAGCCAGGAUGUUGGCUUAGAAGCAGCCAUCAUUUAAAGAAAGCGUAAUAGCUCACUGGUCGAGUCGGCCUGCGCGGAAGAUGUAACGGGGCUAAACCAUGCACCGAAGCUGCGGCAGCGACACUGAUGUGUUGUUGGGUAGGGGAGCGUUCUGUAAGCCGUUGAAGGUGGCCUGUGAGGGUUGCUGGAGGUAUCAGAAGUGCGAAUGCUGACAUAAGUAACGAUAAAGCGGGUGAAAAGCCCGCUCGCCGGAAGACCAAGGGUUCCUGUCCAACGUUAAUCGGGGCAGGGUGAGUCGACCCCUAAGGCGAGGCCGAAAGGCGUAGUCGAUGGGAAACGGGUUAAUAUUCCCGUACUUGGUGUUACUGCGAAGGGGGGACGGAGAAGGCUAUGUUGGCCGGGCGACGGUUGUCCCGGUUUAAGCGUGUAGGUGUGUGUUCCAGGUAAAUCCGGUUCACUUUAACACUGAGGCGUGACGACGAGGCACCACGGUGCUGAAGCAACAAAUGCCCUGCUUCCAGGAAAAGCCUCUAAGCCUCAGGUAACAUCAAAUCGUACCCCAAACCGACACAGGUGGUCAGGUAGAGAAUACCAAGGCGCUUGAGAGAACUCGGGUGAAGGAACUAGGCAAAAUGGUGCCGUAACUUCGGGAGAAGGCACGCUGACACGUAGGUGAAGUGGUUUACCCAUGGAGCUGAAGUCAGUCGAAGAUACCAGCUGGCUGCAACUGUUUAUUAAAAACACAGCACUGUGCAAACACGAAAGUGGACGUAUACGGUGUGACGCCUGCCCGGUGCCGGAAGGUUAAUUGAUGGGGUCAGCGCAAGCGAAGCUCCUGAUCGAAGCCCCGGUAAACGGCGGCCGUAACUAUAACGGUCCUAAGGUAGCGAAAUUCCUUGUCGGGUAAGUUCCGACCUGCACGAAUGGCGUAAUGAUGGCCAGGCUGUCUCCACCCGGGACUCAGUGAAAUUGAACUCGCUGUGAAGAUGCAGUGUACCCGCGGCAAGACGGAAAGACCCCGUGAACCUUUACUAUAGCUUGACACUGAACACUGGUCCUUGAUGUGCAGGAUAGGUGGGAGGCUUUGAAGUGUGGACGCCAGUCUGCAUGGAGCCAUCCUUGAAAUACCACCCUUUAAUGGCUGGUGUUCUAACGUGGGCCCCUGACCGGGGUUGCGGACAGUGUCUGGUGGGUAGUUUGACUGGGGCGGUCUCCUCCUAAAGAGUAACGGAGGAGCACGAAGGUUGGCUAAUCCUGGUCGGACAUCAGGAGGUUAGUGCAAUGGCAUAAGCCAGCUUGACUGCGAGCGUGACGGCGCGAGCAGGUGCGAAAGCAGGUCAUAGUGAUCCGGUGGUUCUGAAUGGAAGGGCCAUCGCUCAACGGAUAAAAGGUACUCCGGGGAUAACAGGCUGAUACCGCCCAAGAGUUCAUAUCGACGGCGGUGUUUGGCACCUCGAUGUCGGCUCAUCACAUCCUGGGGCUGAAGUAGGUCCCAAGGGUAUGGCUGUUCGCCAUUUAAAGUGGUACGCGAGCUGGGUUUAGAACGUCGUGAGACAGUUCGGUCCCUAUCUGCCGUGGGCGCUGGAAGAUUGAGGGGGGCUGCUCCUAGUACGAGAGGACCGGAGUGGACGCAUCACUGGUGUUCGGGUUGUCAUGCCAAUGGCACUGCCCGGUAGCUACAUGCGGAAGAGAUAAGUGCUGAAAGCAUCUAAGCACGAAACUUGCCCCGAGAUGAAUCUUCCCUGAGCCUUUAAGGCUCCUGAAGGAACGUUGAAGACGACGACGUUGAUAGGCCGGGUGUGUAAGCGCAGCGAUGCGUUGAGCUAACCGGUACUAAUGAACCGUGAGGCUUAACCUU